This 468-nucleotide ribosomal RNA is filed under the name uncultured bacterium. Its description in RNAcentral is "partial 16S ribosomal RNA". It matches the Rfam family "Bacterial small subunit ribosomal RNA", at positions 28 to 507 of the family's 1533-position model. The record is from RNAcentral.
GACGAACGCUGGCGGCGGGCUUAACACAUGCAAGUCGAACGGAAAGGCCGUGCUUUGUUGCGGUGCUGGGGGGGCGAACGGGUGAGUAACACGUGUGUAACCGGCCCUUCACUUUGGGAGAACUUCAGGAAACUUGGGCUAAGACCGGAUAGGAUCUCCUGCGGCAGGGUGGGCGUGGGAUAGUUUCGGCGGUUGGGGAGGGACUCGCGGCUCAUCGGCUUGUUGGUUGGGUAGUGGCUGACCAAGGCUUUGACCGGUAGCCGACCUGAGAGGGUGACCGGCCCCAUUACGACUGAGCUACGGCACAGACUACAAUGGGAGGCAGCGGUGGAGAAUAUUGUACAGUGGGAGGAAGGCUGAUGUGACAAAGCCGCGUGCGGGAAGACAGCAUUCGGGUAGUGAACCGCAUCCGCCUCUGACGAAGCGUGAGUGACGGUAAUCGGUGAAGAAGCACCGGCUAACUACGUG